Mustela putorius furo (domestic ferret) is the source of this 2797-nucleotide long non-coding RNA. The record is from Ensembl. NCBI's taxonomy places the organism in Eukaryota, Metazoa, Chordata, Mammalia, Carnivora, Mustelidae.
GAAUUUAAUUAACAUUUAAAUUAAAAUUAAUAAAAGGUUAAAUUUCUUUCAUACCUUCCUCCUUUGACCCAGCACCCCCUUUUUAUUUUCUACCUUCUCACCAAUGACCCUGCAUUGCACAUGUCGUCUUUUCUACUGGACUGUGAGCCAUCUGAGGACCAGGACUACCUUAUUCAAUGUUGCAGCAGGUCAACCAGCAUGAAAAAGCUUCGAGGAGGUUGAGUGAUGAGAACAUGAAGAGCAAACAUGCAUCUGGCUUCUGGGUACCACCUAGUAAAGGAGUCAGAGCUGCCGUGAAUGGCCACUGCCUAAUGGACUCCAGACGCGUGAGAGUUCAGCAAGGCUGCCAGACACAGAUUCAACGGACACCGUCAAUAACCAGCCAGGAGCUCCGGUGGAACACGAGCUGCCACUCAUAUCAUCCGACACCUCUCAAGUUUCUGGGAAUGGAAAGGAAAAGGAAGGCAUACAAGUUUAUGGAUAAAUCAUUCAAAUUCUAUAAAAGGCAUAGAAGACAUGAAUAAUGAAUGAAUGGAAUUAUCUGAUAUUGUGAAUCUGUCAGUUCUCCCCUAAAUUCAUCUAUAUAUUCCAUAUGUUCCCAGAAAGCCCCAGCAGAAGUUUUUGAGACAGACUGAUGCUAAAACUGACAUUAAAGAAUUAAGUUUCACAAAUAGUUGUCAAUUUUAUGCACACACGCACGCGCGUGCACAAAGAGGAGCAAGGAGAGGAGGGCAUAUACUAGCAGAGCAGCAGCACAACAUGUGCAACAGAUAAGAAUGCCCGGGAAUAGAGAUGUGUGUAAGGAAGACAUCCUGCAGAAGUGGGGAGCAGAUAAAUUGUUUAGUAUAUGGUGCUAAGAAAGCUGGCUCCUUGAAACUAGGAAGGAAAAAAUAUGCCCGUAGGGUAGAGGGAGAUUUUUUGCAACAAGACCAUCUGAGCGCAGACGAUAAGGGAGGAGAGUGUUGGGUCUGACUACACAAAUGUUACAGAUCUCUGUUCAUCACGGGCACAGAAAAUGUUGUUAAUAGGUGUGUGCCAUUCGAAGAGAAUGUUCAAAGUUUAAAAUCAUUAGGAUUAAUGUCUAGAUUAAAAAGGAAUGCCUAUUGGGGUGCCUGGGUGGUUCUGUUGGUUAAGGACCCAACUCCUGAUUGCGGCUCAGGUCAUGAUCUCAGGGUUGUGAGAUCAAGCCCCAUGUCAGGUUCCAUGCUUGGUGCAGAUUCAGCUUGAGAUUCAUUCUCUCUCUCUCUCUCUCUCUCUCUCUGCCCUGCUAGUGCUCUUGUUCUCUCUCUCAAAAAAAAAAAAAAAAAUCCUAUUAAUCAUUGAAAAGGCAGGAAAAUGGGUAAAGUAUAUGAAUAGGCAACCCACAAAAGGCAGAAAUCUAAAUGCCUAAAGCUCAAGAGAUUCCCAACCUCCCCUGUAGUGAGAAGCAUCAGCAUUAAAACAAAAGUGUCUUGCCACUUAAUAGCCACUCAAUGGAAAAAAUUUAACAUUAGAGGACUGCAGGAUUUCAACAGGUUGAAAGAAACCAGAACACAUACGCUUAGCUGGCAGGAGUGGGCCUGGCACAGUCUUUCUGGAAAGUAAUCUGGCAGCUCUUCGGGGAAUUAGAGCUGGGUAUCCUACAAUACAGCGUCUCUCUCCUGAUAACCUAUGUCAUCUUGCAUGACAAAAUCUUCCCUAAGCCUAUAUGGCUCUGCAAAGAAAAUGUACGCUGCAGACUUCUUCAUAGCAGCAAGUAGCUGCCCGUCAUCAGAGGGAACGUCACAGGGCUGCUAGAAGCAACACCCUAGGGAGCAUAGCUAGAAGGAGCAAGUAAAAAAGUAAGAAACAUAAUGAGAUACUAUCAUGUAAGCUAAAAGCACACACAUGCCAAAAAUACCGCUACACGUAGCACAGAUAUACGGAGAACAUCUAUCAAACAUCCUAGAGGGCUGCCUACUUAACGUUAGUGUAUAUUAAUGGGAAAUAGGGGAACCUGAAGCAAAAUAAGAAAGAGACCUUGUGGGAGGAAAUGUCAUAGUGCACCAUCAACUCAGAGAGAUGUCUCAUUAAAUCAAAGCUUUGCACCUAAAAUCCAAAGAGUUUAAAAAAAAAAAAAAAAAAAGGAGACACCCAAUCCAGAACAGAGUGUUACCAAAGGCGCUCUUGGAGCUCAGCAGGCGCUAUUCCUGAGCAUGUGGAAACGCAUGAGCCCCACGGGACUGAAAAGGCAGAUUGAGUCCCUGUUCUUAAAUUCAUGAACCAUGGUUCUUCCGGAGUGUUCUUUCAAUCUCUUGACGUUCUUUUCCAUUCUGCAACACUAGGGAAGAUGAGCCACGCGGGGAGUGGAGGGCACGGUUUCUCCAUCCGGAGAAUCUGGUGAUAAACUCCUUCCUGAUUGCGGUAUCCUAGAAACGCUCGCUUUGUGUUCUUGCCUGAGUGAUGGAGUCCGUGUUUUUCCUUUACAUGCUGGCAGUAGCAAAUGUCUUACCAUGGCUGCUGUCCAGAGAAUUCGAAGCCAGAGCUUUGCUCUGGGCGAGCCUCCAGAAGAGUAAUUUGGAUCCCGUAGCUGAGAAGCCCUCAACUUUAAGGAGGACCCAGAGGCUAUGCUAACUGCCUCUUCAAGCCUUUAUAAGUUGAGGAGGGAGAGAGAGGGGCAGCCCUCAGUCAUUCCCAAGUCAGCCUUUCCCAGCCAUCGUGUGCUGGCCUUACUUUGAUUUCUGUUCUUUUUACAGGAUCCCCAGGUGCUUAAGAGGAUUUCAAAAGCAAGAGGUGAAACAUUACCCGAGAUAGUUUAUGUUUUUGUUUUAGAUCUUCU